ACUCCUACGGGAGGCAGCAGUGGGGAAUAUUGCACAAUGGGGGAAACCCUGAUGCAGCCAUGCCGCGUGUGUGAAGAAGGCCUUCGGGUUGUAAAGCACUUUCAGCGAGGAGGAAAGGGUGUGUGUUAAUACCCGAUACAUCUGUGACGGUUACUCGCAGAAGAAGCACCGGCUAACUCCGUGCCAGCAGCCGCGGUAAUACGGAGGGUGCGAGCGUUAAUCGGAAUUACUGGGCGUAAAGCGCAUGCAGGUGGUUUGUUAAGUCAGAUGUGAAAGCCCGGGGCUCAACCUCGGAAUUGCA
Molecule: ribosomal RNA, 301 nt
Filed under: uncultured bacterium
Lineage: Bacteria
Description: bacterial SSU rRNA
Rfam family: Bacterial small subunit ribosomal RNA
Source: RNAcentral